RNAcentral lists this ribosomal RNA (253 nucleotides) under uncultured bacterium. RNAcentral describes it as "partial 16S ribosomal RNA". It matches the Rfam family "Bacterial small subunit ribosomal RNA", at positions 524 to 776 of the family's 1533-position model. The record is from RNAcentral.
UACGGAGGGUGCAAGCGUUAUCCGGAUUCACUGGGUUUAAAGGGUGCGUAGGUGGGUCUGUAAGUCAGUGGUGAAAUCUUCGAGCUUAACUCGGAAACUGCCAUUGAUACUAUAUAUCUUGAAUUUUCUGGAGGUAAGCGGAAUAUGUCAUGUAGCGGUGAAAUGCUUAGAUAUGACAUAGAACACCAAUUGCGAAGGCAGCUUACUACGGGAAUAUUGACACUGAGGCACGAAAGCGUGGGGAUCAAACAGG